This 402-nucleotide ribosomal RNA is filed under the name uncultured bacterium. RNAcentral's name for it is "bacterial SSU rRNA". It matches the Rfam family "Bacterial small subunit ribosomal RNA", at positions 28 to 433 of the family's 1533-position model. The record is from RNAcentral.
GACGAACGCUGGCGGCGUGCUUAACACAUGCAAGUCGAGCGGAAAGGCCCUUCGGGGUACUCGAGCGGCGAACGGGUGAGUAACACGUGAGCAACCUGCCCUGGACUUUGGGAUAACCCUCGGAAACGGGGGCUAAUACCGGAUAUGACUGCUGGCCGCAUGGUUGGUGGUGGAAAGUUUUUCGGUCUGGGAUGGGCUCGCGGCCUAUCAGCUUGUUGGUGGGGUAAUGGCCUACCAGGGCGAGGACGGGUAGCCGGCCUGAGAGGGCGACCGGCCACACUGGGACUGAGACACGGCCCAGACUCCUACGGGAGGCAGCAGGUGGGGAAUAUUGGACAAUGGGGGAAACCCUGAUCCAGCGACGCCGCGUGUGUGAAGAAGGCCUGCGGGUUGUAAAGCUAC